CCUACGGGAGGCAGCAGUGGGGGAUAUUGCACAAUGGGGGGAACCCUGAUGCAGCGACGCCGCGUGGGUGAAGGAGUAUUUCGGUAUGUAAAGCCCUAUCGGCAGGGAAGAAUUUAGACGGUACCUGACUAAGAAGCCCCGGCUAACUACGUGCCAGCAGCCGCGGUAAUACGUAGGGGGCAAGCGUUAUCCGGAUUCACUGGGUGUAAAGGGAGCGUAGACGGCCAGGCAAGCCUGGAGUGAAAGCCCGGGGCCCAACCCCGGGACUGCUCUGGGAACUGUCCGGCUGGAGUGCGGGAGGGGCAGGCGGAAUUCCUGGUGUAGCGGUGAAAUGCGUAGAUAUCAGGAGGAACACCGGCGGCGAAGGCGGCCUGCUGGACCGCGACUGACGUUGAGGCUCGAAAGCGUGGGGAGCGAACAGGAUUAGAUACCCCUGUAGUC
This 441-nucleotide ribosomal RNA is filed under the name uncultured bacterium. RNAcentral's name for it is "partial 16S ribosomal RNA". It matches the Rfam family "Bacterial small subunit ribosomal RNA", at positions 338 to 795 of the family's 1533-position model. The record is from RNAcentral.